ACAUCCCGUGCGGGAGAGCCCGGACCCCGGUCCGGCGCCGAAGGAGCAAAUCCUCCCCGGAACCUCUCAGGCACCCAGGACCGCACGGGACAG
Molecule: non-coding RNA, 93 nt
Filed under: Kutzneria sp. 744
Lineage: Bacteria; Bacillati; Actinomycetota; Actinomycetes; Pseudonocardiales; Pseudonocardiaceae
Also listed under: 1 other name
Description: Glycine riboswitch aptamer
Rfam family: Glycine riboswitch aptamer
About the family: This family represents the bacterial glycine riboswitch.
Source: Rfam by way of RNAcentral